GACGAACGCUGGCGGCGUGCUUAACACAUGCAAGUUGAACGGAAAGGCCCUGCUUUUGUGGGGUGCUCGAGUGGCGAACGGGUGAGUAACACGUGAGUAACCUGCCCUUGACUUUGGGAUAACUUCAGGAAACUGGGGCUAAUACCGGAUAGGAGCUCCUGCUGCAUGGUGGGGGUUGGAAAGUUUCGGCGGUUGGGGAUGGACUCGCGGCUUAUCAGCUUGUUGGUGGGGUAGUGGCUUACCAAGGCUUUGACGGGUAGCCGGCCUGAGAGGGUGACCGGCCACAUUGGGACUGAGAUACGGCCCAGACUCCUACGGGAGGCAGCAGUGGGGAAUAUUGCACAAUGGGCGGAAGCCUGAUGCAGCAACGCCGCGUGCGGGAUGACGGUCUUCGGGUUGUAAACCGCUUUCGCCUGUGACGAAGCGUGAGUGACGGUAAUGGGUAAAGAAGCACCGGCUAACUACGUG
Molecule: ribosomal RNA, 468 nt
Filed under: uncultured bacterium
Lineage: Bacteria
Description: partial 16S ribosomal RNA
Rfam family: Bacterial small subunit ribosomal RNA
Source: RNAcentral